Molecule: long non-coding RNA, 2309 nt
Organism: Agrilus planipennis (emerald ash borer)
Lineage: Eukaryota; Metazoa; Arthropoda; Insecta; Coleoptera; Buprestidae
Exons: 4
Source: RefSeq, a predicted model, not a curated record
AUUGACGCAAAUGUAAAGUGAUGUGCUGUGUACCUAAAAUCAAACAAAAUGUGGGAAGAAGAAAAAAGUCGAUGAUUAACAGGAAUAGGGAAGAUCCGUAACCUAAGCGUGUAAACAUGCGAAAUGAUCAAUUAGAAAGCAACAGACAUGACGACAAAAGCCAUUUACGUUGAAAUGCCACUAUACUUGUACAGUAUGUACCAUAUAUUUAUGCCACAGGAUACUUACAAUAAAAAACUAACCCUAUAAUUUACGCAAAGCUAGUCAGUGUUUUAAUGUUCUAUGCUUGACAUUGUGCUUACAGAUUUGAAUCUAAUUACUUUCAAAAUACGUAAUUGCUAAUUGGUAGUGCUUUGAUUUUAAAAUGUAAUCGAGGCUUUAAAGGCUAAAGAACAUUAUGUAGGGGCUUUGGGCUUAUAGCUGUUUUGCUAAGGGUUUGCCUAUAUCUGACUGUAAGCCCUACAAAUGAAAAUUUAUAGAAGAUUUUGAGGUAAAUAAUUGAUAUUGCAGACCAGUGUUAAUCAUGUCCAAUCAUUUAAGUAAACAUUAAACUAAUUCAAUAAUACUGUUAAUUCAUUCAUAGUAACUAUUUUCAGUUCCAGUAAGUUAAAAAGAAUUUGAAGAUGCAUUACAUAUUGAUGAAAUUAUAAAUUUGUUCACUUCUAUCAAAAAUGUGGGUAGUUUCAACAUUCUUUACUUUGUAGCAUUCUCUACUAUUGUGAAACAAGAAUAUUGACAUGUCAGUGUUUUUGUAGCAGUCCUGUUUCACUCUAAAAGGUACCAGUACUUAAAGUCUUGAAGAAAUCAUGAAAUUACCCUUUUUUCAUUGGUAACAAUAACAGAAAAUAGUACUUAGUACAUUAAGCAAUUAGUGCUGUUAGUCUUUUCUUAUAAAUAUUUAUUAUGGAUAUAGGGCCUGCAGUUAACUCUGAAUGUGGGAAUGAUUGUAUGGUGAAAACUAAGACUAUGGGUAAUAUGGACACGAAUAAGUUGAUCAAAAGGUGGGAUUGUUAAAUUUUAUUAAUGAACUGUUUUUGCAGUCAAAUAAUUGGACUGAUUCUCAGCUCUUUGUAGUAUUUUGUCUUUUAUUGUAUGUUAUUAAUUUAAUAGUGUAUUUAAUCUGUUUUUGUUGCACUUUUCAGCACAAUUUGGGUUGCAAAUGAGAUGAGAUCACUAUGAAAUUUAUUUUGCUUAGGCUAAGGCUUUAGGAGGCUAAAUUAAUUAUAUUUGAAUACUCUGUCAUUAUGAAAACAUUGGUUUCUCUUUCACUCUGCAAAGUAGUAAUACCUGCAGUCCUGAAGAAAGCAUGAAGCUGCCUUUAUUGCAUUGACAAUAAAAAUAAUGUGGUAUUGUUAAAAGAAUGGUUUAUGAUAUGAAUUGGUAAGUAACAAUUAAAAAUAGUAGAUGCGGUCCUGCAAAACUUCAAUUUCUUUGAUAUUUGUAACUUUCAAUAAAUAUAUUUUAAAUCAUGUUGUCAAAAGCAGAACAGCAGAAUAAAUGUCUGGAACUGUCGUUUCCGGCAAUAUGAAUGUUAAUACAAAGGAUAGACCGUUUAUUUUAAUUUUUUUUUUUUUAAACAUGAACUAUUACGUAUAUUAUGAUAUUAAUGUGGGAGUCUGAAGAAACCUGAUAAGGAUUUAACAUCAUAGCAGUGUUUAUUUCGCUUAUUAAUUAAUGGUUUUCUAUUUUUUGUUUUUAUUUAUUUAUAAUUUUUUAACAGUCAUCUUUAAAAUAUUAUUGAUUAAAAGUAUUUAAUUACUUUUUCUGUCCGUUUUUAUAGAUUGGCUAACAAAUAAAAAAGAUUGGGAAGUUAAUUUUAACCCUACCGAUGACAACAUGGGUUGUCUGACCUAGUAUGCUUUCUACACAUGUAAAUCAUGGAACGUUACAUUCUACAGUUAUUCAGUUGUCCACAGCAUAAAUUAAAUUGACAAAAUAAGUUGUCUCCUUUCUAUGGCGUUUUAUCUGUUCCAUCUUGAAGGCUGUUAUAUUUAACUGAUUAAGAAUUUAUUCUACAAGAACAUUAGAAGAACUCAAGAUACCAUUAACUUAUGGAGCACUGGUUGUAUUAGUCCUCAUUUGCUAUAGAAAAUAGAUGUACUUGUGGUCUUAAGGAAAGCAUGAAAGUGCCUUUUUUCCAUUGGGAGAGGAGACAGUGUGCUAAAGAAAGGAUUUAUGACAAUGAACUGGUAUGUAACAGUAUCAAUUAAAAAUAGUAAAUGAGGUUCCAGAAACUUCAAUUUCUUAAGACAUUUAUAACUUGCUUCAAUAAACAACUUUUGAACAAAACAGUAGGAUUAAUGUGGGAC